Molecule: unclassified non-coding RNA, 285 nt
Filed under: uncultured fungus
Lineage: Eukaryota; Fungi
Description: sequence contains ITS1, 5.8S rRNA gene
Rfam family: 5.8S ribosomal RNA (bases 237-285)
Source: RNAcentral
UUUCCGUAGGUGAACCUGCGGAAGGAUCAUUACUGAGGAUGGCUUCGCAAGAAGCGCCUUCUACACAAUGUGAACAAUACCUGGUGCUUCGGCAGGACGAUGGCGUUGCUGACAGCGUUGCUGACAGCAGUGCUGUCCACUGAUCUAGGAAGCCUAGAUGGGUGCGAGCCUGCCGGAGGAGUGUUUUACAACUCUUUUUAUACUAGAAGCAGUCUUAUGAAAAACAAAAGAAACAAAACUUUCAACAACGGAUCUCUUGGUUCUGGCAUCGAUGAAGAACGCAGC